AUUGAACGCUGGCGGAAUGCUUUACACAUGCAAGUCGAACGGCAGCACGGGGGCAACCCUGGUGGCGAGUGGCGAACGGGUGAGUAAUACAUCGGAACGUGCCCAAUCGUGGGGGAUAACGUAGCGAAAGCUACGCUAAUACCGCAUACGAUCUACGGAUGAAAGCGGGGGAUCGCAAGACCUCGCGCGAAUGGAGCGGCCGAUGGCAGAUUAGGUAGUUGGUGGGGUAAAGGCUCACCAAGCCGACGAUCUGUAGCUGGUUCUGAGAGGACGACCAGCCACACUGGAACUGAGACACGGUCCAGACUCCUACGGGAGGCAGCAGUGGGGAAUUUUGGACAAUGGGCGCAAGCCUGAUCCAGCCAUUCCGCGUGAGUGAAGAA
RNAcentral lists this ribosomal RNA (383 nucleotides) under uncultured bacterium. RNAcentral's name for it is "bacterial SSU rRNA". It matches the Rfam family "Bacterial small subunit ribosomal RNA", at positions 29 to 412 of the family's 1533-position model. The record is from RNAcentral.